UACAUGUUGAUGUAAAUGCAUAAGAGAUUUUGAUUUUCUAAGAUUUGGUGA
Molecule: transfer RNA, 51 nt
Filed under: Daphnia melanica
Lineage: Eukaryota; Metazoa; Arthropoda; Branchiopoda; Diplostraca; Daphniidae
Description: partial tRNA-Gln
Source: RNAcentral